UUGGCUUAGAAGCAGCCAUCAUUUAAAGAAAGCGUAAUAGCUCACUGGUCGAGUCGGCCUGCGCGGAAGAUGUAACGGGGCUAAACCAUGCACCGAAGCUGCGGCAGCGACACUAUGUGUUGUUGGGUAGGGGAGCGUUCUGUAAGCCUGUGAAGGUGUGCUGUGAGGUAUGCUGGAGGUAUCAGAAGUGCGAAUGCUGACAUAAGUAACGAUAAAGCGGGUGAAAAGCCCGCUCGCCGGAAGACCAAGGGUUCCUGUCCAACGUUAAUCG
Molecule: ribosomal RNA, 271 nt
Filed under: Escherichia coli
Lineage: Bacteria; Pseudomonadati; Pseudomonadota; Gammaproteobacteria; Enterobacterales; Enterobacteriaceae
Description: partial 23S ribosomal RNA
Rfam family: Bacterial large subunit ribosomal RNA
Source: RNAcentral